This is a long non-coding RNA of Triticum aestivum (bread wheat), 6427 nucleotides long. RefSeq lists it as uncharacterized. The record is from RefSeq and is a predicted model, not a curated record. NCBI's taxonomy places the organism in Eukaryota, Viridiplantae, Streptophyta, Magnoliopsida, Poales, Poaceae. The transcript is spliced from 6 exons.
GACCGAAAAAAGAUCUACGAUGGUUAUCCAACGAAAAAAGACCUACGAAAACUAACCAGCGACAAAAAAACCUAAACCUAUCGCCCGCACGGACGAUCGACGACUCCUGCCCUCGAGUGAGGUCUCCCUUCGCCGCCGCCGCUCCACCCAGAGCCGCCCUCUUCCCCGCUGGCGCCGCCCUCUUCCCUCCCACCCCGAGCUGUCGUCUUCCCCGCCCACGCCGCUCUCUUCCCCGCCGGCGCUGCCAUCCACUCACCUUCUGUUCUUCAAGCGGGGACGCCCCAGAUCGAGUCGAGCAAGUCAGCGGGGCAGCAGCCAGAUCCGCCAUGGCCACAUCUCGUCGAGAUGGGCUGCGCCGGGAGAGGUAGAUCGAGGCGGCGGGCAACGUGUGCGUCUUGUCUCUUGGGACGCCGCUCCGACCCGAUCCGGCGAGGAGGCAGCCUCCGUGUGCGGCAAUGAGGGCGGCGGCCGGCUGCGCGAAAGGUCGAUCUGAUUGUGCCUCGUCACACCCCUUCCCUGGGCUGCACUUUCUUUGCCUGUUAAGCAAUUGAUAUACAUAGUGGAGCAAGAAUUAACACCAUGGAAGGGGAGAAAUACAGUACAGGCACUACGUAUUUUAAAUUUUGCAUGUGGGCUCAGGCGUGGCAGCGUCAGCGGCCUCCGACGCUCCUCGGCUCAGCCGCCGCCGACCUACCAUGCCCAAAAUCCUCGCGAGCAGUGUCACUCCUUCCCCUCACCGUGGUACCUUCCUCUUCCGUGUUACUUUUUUUCUUCUGAACAUGCAGUUGUUUUGGUCCAUCAUUGUUCUCAUAAAAGUACAUUCUUAAGGAUGAGCAAACUUCUGUGAUGUUGUGACGCGAAGUGCCUGAUGCCUUGAUGUCUUACUUUAAAUUCGUUUUACAUGCAUGAGCAGGACUUCACACUAGGAUGGGAGCAACCUGCAUCUUUCGAAUGUACUGAACUAAUAAAUAACUACGUACUUUUGAACUGAAUAUCCUCCGGCAAUUGGCGUCAGCAUUGACUAUGCCACUGUCAAAUGCAUGUUUGUUUAAUCAUAAUGAUUUCUUCAUCCCUUUAGUUAGAAGAAUCAAAAGGAGUUAAUAAGCUUCUAAGCUCUUUAGUCUGCAUUUUUCUUUGUAGUUCCUUUUUUUACUCAGAUUGUGCAACGUCAAUGGUCUCUACCCUGAAGAGUCAAGAUUACAUUGUUACUGACUUGCAAGGCUCUAUUAUGUUUCGAGGUGAAGAAGUAUUUACCUCUUGAGUUGUUGAUCAUUUUCUUUGGCUUGACUCUAUAUGCAACCCUUUCGUACCAUUUACCUGCAUUAACUUGAGCAAUAAUAUCUGUACCAUUUACUUUACUGUUAAUUACAGAAGAAGAUAAAACCAAUGAGUUAACUAAGCAAGAUUUGCAGGUGCAAUGGAUUGAUUGAUUGAUGAAUCAAUCACAGCUGCUAGAAGAAGAAAGAAUCAGGCGUGCAUCAUGGAUGAUGGAUCUUGGAGUGCGGGGUGAGAACAAAGGUGAUUUAUUGGAGUGAUAUAAGCAAACUCAGGCACGUUUCCUUUCCUCACAUUUUGAAGAUCCAAGCAGAAUGGAUCUAUUAUUAGUAGCAUCGUCACCUUCAAAUCCAAUGUUUUUUUAGGCCACUCCUGUGUUUGUCUCUUUCAAACUAAUCUGGUUUAAACAGUAGAUCAUUACUAUUUUACCUACUUGAUUCUUAAUGCUUGUAUUUCUUAAAUUUUCCUAGGAGAAUGGGAAUUACAUCUAGAGCUACAGUUUGUGAUUUAAGGAUCUGCUAGGCAUGUCAUGGCAAGUAAUUUUACUUGGCAAUUGCCAUGCUCCAGCAUAAAUCAUGUUCUGUUGCAGCACCUGACAUUUAGGUACCUUGAUUCAUGGAUGUACGAUAGGCCUGAAGCUUGAGCAGUUCAUAUUCGACAUAUCCAUUUAAUCCCUGUCCAUGACACUUUUUGAGGUGCUACACGAAGAGGAAUUUGCGCCAGUGAAGAACGCGAAUGGCACAACCUAUGACACCUGAUGCUACUCCAACUGCAUAGCGGAUGGGUAAUUUCUCACCAUUUCCUGUACCCAGAAACUUGUAGAAUUAAAUUACAAGUCAGGCCUUUCAACAUAGAACUUUUAUGAUCAUCUUUCUCAUGAUCCCUUUCCCUCAUAAGCUUCGAGGUUUCUCCUCUCAGCUCCUAUGCCGGAGAAAGCCUUGAGACGAUUUUUCACGGACGAGGAUUCCACAUUCCCGGUGAGAUUUCGCUAUAGGCGCAUCAUGUCAUGGCAGCAGCAACAUCAAAUGGGAGAUGCAAUGUUGCAAGGCCGAAACCUUGGGAUACAUUGGGUUUCGACUUACAUGUUACAGGAUAUGCGUAGACGUAAGUUUGACUUUCAGAUAAUACAUGCCAAACACUUUUAAAGUUGUGUCGUGCAUGACAGUGGAAACAUCUGUGUAUUGCACAGGAUCCUACAGAGCAGAUGGGCACAUGUAUGUGUGGAGACUCUGAAAAGAUGAACACAUGUAUGUGUCCGGUUAUUCUGAAGCUAUUUAAUAUAUUAGUUGUGUCAAGAGGUCAAGUCCAGGUCCCUCAUGUCAAGUCUAUAAGUUUCACUCGAAAGAAUAAAAUGCUCUCAAGGGUCGUACUGAAAAAAGAACUACAUUAGCAAGUUGAUUCAAUAAUCCAUCCUCUGUUUUGCACCUCGUUUGUUAGUUAUUUAGUUAUGGCCAGGGUGGGAGUAUUGAUCACUAUUUCUUGACAAAGUUUUGGGUGAAGGAGCAAAUUGGCAGUAAUCAGUGCGAUCCUACCGGCAGUGGUUUGCGAGUAUACAUGGAUAGGAAAUGAGAUGAGAUCAAAUCUCAUGAUUCCAUCUCGUCCCGGUCCCGGGCGGACGGGGUGUCAGGGUGAGUAGUUUGUUUGUUCGACCCUCAUUCUGUGGUGCCCAUGAAAUAUGCAACACAUGUACCAUGAAGGGGGUUAUUUAGUGUGACAACUCAUACUUGUUGUCCUAAGGGCUGCUUUAUAAAAGCUUUGUACCAAAUUUACUGAAUUAGAAAUAACAGUUGAUAGAGCUGGUAUGUUAAUCUCAUAGCCCUGACCUUGAACAUUUUCUUCUUUCGUCCUAUAUAUGCACACUUACCUUCCUGCAACUGUAUGUACAUCCUCUGUAAGGAAAUAUAGGAGCAUUUAGAAUACUAAAGUAGUGAUCUAAAUGCUCUAAUAUUUCUUAUUAACUAGCCAAUUGCUUUCAUUUAAUUAUCAUUAUUCUGGAACAUGUUGCUCACGUGAUAUUAAACAUUUUAAUUAGAAUAAGCUAUCCAAGAAGGUUUUAUUAGGAAAAUUUAGUUUAUGUGACUUUUUUUAUUUGAACAAGCUACGCAUCUCCAUUUUUUCAUUUUUAGUUGUUUAUUUGUAUAGUUGAAACAUUAGUUUGAUGUGAGUUUCAGCUACCUGCUUGUUAUUGAAACUGCAAGAACUCGCUAGCUUUUGUCAAAAGAAAUGGAAUGUGAUGGAAGUAAAAGAAGAUAAGGUGUUUUUGUUGAUCCUUGUGUCUGAUUUUAGGGUGUGUGCGUGUGCCUAAUCACUGUAAAUAGUAAAUACUCUACAUCUAUGACAGCGAAAUCCUUGUGAAUAUGGACAGAUGGAGAUGUAUGAACGGGCAGUUCUUGCAGUUACUUAUUCAGUGGACAUAUGGUGUAAUUAUUGUCAGUUUGCGAUUUCAACAUACAAUGACCCAGAUGUCAUCAGAACAUAGCAAUUGAAUACCGAGACUAUUCUGAUGAAGUUUUUUUAAUAUAUUUUUGUAGUGUCUUGACUUUUGUUAACUACCGCAUUUUAGGAUGUAUGUGUAUAGGAAUACAUACAUGGCAAGAAGGGAUUUUACAAUACCUAGGACCUGGACAGGAAUGCUUGAUGAAAUGCUUCAUAAUAUUUUAGCACUGUUUUUCGGCAGUCCUUGUGGUAGGAAAGUUAUCCAUUCUUCGAAAACUCAUCUACUACUACUCACCUUGUAGAAUUUUUUAUUCUGCUGCAUAUUUGGUUUUAUCAUAAAAUGAAUGGAUUAUUCUGAAAUACAGUGUAACCCCUCCCCCCCUCUCAACGAUUAUUAUUUUAGCAUUUAUUUAUUAUUAUUCUUUUGCCUCUUGCUAUUGCUUGCUAAAGGCACAUGCAUACACAAAUCUUUCCUCGUGCCAUUGUUUCUUCUGCAAGCACCUAGCAGUGUAAUUUCAUGAAUCAAAGUAAGAUUCUGCUAUUUGGCCCAAAGAAUUAUCUGAUGAUACCUUUUCCCCUUUCCUUGCUAUAGCUACUGGAUGUUUAUUCUUUUUGAGACAAGAACACUUACUUUUGGCCUACUUAUACUAUCAUGUCGAUUCCUAAUUUAGGAGUGAAUAUGGGCCGUGGACUGCUUUUCUUGCGUUUGCGGUGUGUUUGUUCUUACCCUUUCCAGGUAGAGUAACAUGAAAGAUCAAUAAGUCCUGCUUAAAAGUUUGAUGCACUGUUUGAGCAGUGAUUUUGUUUUUUAUGGUGAGAGUUCCUCGGAUGUUAUUUUUCGCUCAAAUUUUGCAAGAAGCUCAAGCAUUUGAUAAUUAUUUUGUCUCAAAAUUUCAGAUUUUUUGGAUUUUGUUUUAUCAUGUUUUUUCAGUGUUUUUCGAAAUUCGGUGUACUACACUCGAGAGUUGUCACACCUUUCUAUAUAUCUCAUGGUUUUGUGGCUUAUGCCUUGGAAGCUUUUUGCCAAUGCACAAGUGCAAAGUCCUUUCAUUUUCCUCCUGUAUCCUCAGUUGCGUACUAUAACAUUUGACUAUGUGUCGUGUUGGUCUCAAUGGGCUGGCACAGUACUACAGACUAUGGCUAAAGGCUAUGUUUACAAACAUAAAAUAAUGAUUCAAAGAAGAGGAGCAGACGGUGCUACGAUAUUUACCUCAAGGUGAUGAAUCAAUGAACCGAGGGACUUAUUAUUCGGUGAGGCCAGCGGGGUAUUCCAUUUCCUGCAUUUCCUCUUCAGUAUGCUGACUCCAAUCUCCAGAGUCCUCGAUGAUUCUUUCUUAGUCCAUUUAAAUGGGUAUUAUUUUUACCAGUUGGUACACGUUUUUCUUUCAAUAUGCACUCUCACAAUAAUAUAUUUUUUCUGUUCUUCAAAUUGAUUUGUUGAUGGUACAAGGGAAUCAUUGAAAAAAUGUCUUCUCAUCAAGGAUUGGAUUGUGUUCUCAUUAUAGAACAUAAUUUAUUAUGUGAGGCAUUUGCCAUUGCAACAUCUUGUCUAGGGUAUAUUUUUUCCAUUAAACUGAACUGCCUCGCAAAAAAAUUGUAUGUAAUACCCUCUUCUCCAUAAAUAAAUGACAUCUGCUUGGGCAGUAGGUCAUGCUUGGCAGAAUCGCCUCCUCCCGGUCUUCAGCACUCCUGCAGGAAUUGAGCGCCAGUGUGGUCGGGACACAUAGAACACCAACAAGGGAAAAAAACGCACCACUCCUAGGUCAUGCUUGGCAGAAUCGCCUCCUCCCGGUCUUCAGCACUCCUGCAGGAAUUGAGCGCCAGUGUGGUCGGGACACAUAGAACACCAACAAGCGACAAAAACGCACCACUCCAAUAUGCAGCCAGAGUUUGGGCAAUGAUCAAAACGUGGCUUGGUUUACAUGAUGUUCAUCCUACGGACUGGGGAGGCAUGGUUUCCGUCAAGGAGUGGUGGCGCAGCAACACUUAAGGGAGGUCGCAAUCUCGAAGGCCGCUUGUUUCCCUUAUUCCUAUCUCUUGGGAAAUCUGGAAUGAGCGAAAUGCUCGGGUGUUCCGCAACAAUGCGACUCCGGUCGUUGUGCUUGUGACACAUCAAAGCGGAGGCAUCAUCGGGGUGCCUUGCCGGACGAAAUAUUUGUGUAAUAUAAUGCCGCGAGAGUGAUUCUUAAAAUCUUCGUCUUAUUCAAUGAAAAUGACAAGCCUUUGGACUUGUUUCAACAUAAUAUGGACCCGAAUGGAGUGAAAUGUUUAAUAUGUGCAUACCAUUUCUGGAUUGAGAGAUCUAUUUACUGAUGGCUGGUUUUUAAAGAUGUCUUAUAAAGUUGUGAAAUUCUACGAGAAAAGGCUUAUGAGUGGAAUUAAUGAGGACGGUGCUUGUGAAGUUUCCUCCAUAGCUCUUUUGCAAUCAAUCAUUCGUCUGUUAUUAUGGUUGUUCCAUUGUAUGCAUGCACAUUGGAAGGCAGAAAGUAAUGUUGGCUGGUCGCCAGAGAAGUAAAAAGGCCAACAUCUUGAGCUGUAUGGAGCAUGGUUGUUUUCUUAAAGUUUCUGAUGGAUUGUAUACCAUUGACUGAGAGGAAUCGUUCAUUCAUGAGAAUGGGACAAGAGCAUUGCUAGAUGGAAUUCGGCUGAGUGUAAGUACACAUGAGAGGUGUGUUUUCAUUGAUAGAGGAAGGGUGAGAGCAUGACACUUGUACAG